UUGCUGUGAGUUUUGGGAUGCUGUGUGUUCUACAAGUCACUCUCAACAUCUCCCUGAGACCAGUCUAUAACAGAGGCAUCACCAAAGUGACUGCAGAGAGAGACCAGCUACAGACCAGUUACAACAACCUGACUAAAGAGAGAGACCAGAUACAAAAGGAGAGAGAUGAUCUCAAGAGAAAGUUCUCUAAUCUGAAACAAACCUAUCCUGAAGGCUGGCAGAAGUUUGGAUCCAGUUGGUACUUCAUCUCUACUGAGACUAAAACCUGGAGGGAGAGCAGACAGGACUGUCUGGAGAGAGGAGCAG
Coregonus clupeaformis (lake whitefish) is the source of this 306-nucleotide long non-coding RNA. RefSeq lists it as uncharacterized. The transcript is spliced from 3 exons. The record is from RefSeq and is a predicted model, not a curated record. NCBI's taxonomy places the organism in Eukaryota, Metazoa, Chordata, Actinopteri, Salmoniformes, Salmonidae.